UCGGCGCUGCAUUGAGCUGAAAGAUGCUAGUUCUUUCAUGAUUAUGUGAUAGGUGGUGCAUGGCCCGUUCUUAGUUCGUGGAGUGAUCUGUCUGCUUAAUUGCGUAUCAAUAAUAGAGACCUAGUAUACGCGUGGAUUUCGCGUGGUAGUGACCCCCUGUUCGCGCAGGCGUGUGUCGCACACGCGUGCCGCGCACUGGUCUCAGAUAGCAACGAACGUGACCGUAUUCUAUUGUUGCAGUGAAAUGUACUUUCGAGUACGACCCACUGCUUAGUAUAUGCACGUGCUUCGGUGCGAGCAAUAUACAUUAAACUAUAGAGACCGCUGUUUCUUCUUUAAACCAGAGGAAGGAUACGGCAAUAACAGGUCUGUGAUGCCCUCAGAUGUUCCGGGCUGCACACGUGCUACAAUGAUCAUUGCACUGUGCAUCUAACCCAAUGUGCGUGGACGCCGCAUGUAUGUACUCCUUGUGGGUACACGCAUUGCUGAGCGACCACGCCGAACCUACUUCGAAAGUAAAAUUUCUCUGUGGGUAAUCCAUUAGAAGUAAUGACUCGCAUAGACCAUGGCACACCAAAUGUACGCGCAGGUCUACCCGGCUCGCCUUUGUGUGAGUGCAGUGCGUAGCUUGUUGUUUCGUACGUGCCACUCCGUAUUAAUUCGUACGUGGGGAUAGAUCAUUGUUUAAUUGUUGGUCUCGGUCUUAACUAGGAAUGCCUUGUACGGGUCUCUGGUUCAACAUACCACCCGGAAUACGUCCCUGCCCUUUGUACACACCGCCCGUCGCUCUUACCGAUGGAUUAUGCUAUGAAUCUAUAGGACUGCCAAAGUUGCCUCGGCUGCUUAGUGGAAAUAUAUAUGAAUAGCG
RNAcentral lists this ribosomal RNA (868 nucleotides) under Ammonia sp. T2B. Its description in RNAcentral is "SSU rRNA". It matches the Rfam family "Eukaryotic small subunit ribosomal RNA", at positions 1223 to 1768 of the family's 1831-position model. Lineage: Eukaryota; Foraminifera; Rotaliida; Rotaliidae. The record is from RNAcentral.